RNAcentral lists this ribosomal RNA (253 nucleotides) under uncultured bacterium. RNAcentral's name for it is "partial 16S ribosomal RNA". It matches the Rfam family "Bacterial small subunit ribosomal RNA", at positions 524 to 776 of the family's 1533-position model. The record is from RNAcentral.
UACGAAGGGGGCUAGCGUUGCUCGGAAUCACUGGGCGUAAAGGGUGCGUAGGCGGGGCUUUAAGUCAGGGGUGAAAUCCUGGAGCUCAACUCCAGAACUGCCUUUGAUACUGAGAAUCUUGAGUAUGGGAGAGGUGAGUGGAACUGCGAGUGUAGAGGUGAAAUUCGUAGAUAUUCGCAAGAACACCAGUGGCGAAGGCGGCUCACUGGCCCAUAACUGACGCUGAGGCACGAAAGCGUGGGGAGCAAACAGG